UCUCCAUUCAUCUAGCGGUCUAGGAUACCUCCCUUUCACGGUGGCAACACGAGUUCGAAUCUCGUAUGGAGAACCA
This 76-nucleotide transfer RNA is filed under the name Vibrio phage RYC. Its description in RNAcentral is "tRNA-Glu". It matches the Rfam family "tRNA". From Rfam's summary of the family: Transfer RNA (tRNA) molecules are approximately 80 nucleotides in length. Their secondary structure includes four short double-helical elements and three loops (D, anti-codon, and T loops). The record is from RNAcentral. Lineage: Duplodnaviria; Heunggongvirae; Uroviricota; Caudoviricetes.